AGUCGAGCGAUGAAAUCCCUUCGGGGAUGGAUUAGCGGCGGACGGGUGAGUAACACGUGGGUAACCUGCCUCAAAGUGGGGGAUAGCCUUCCGAAAGGAAGAUUAAUACCGCAUAAUAUCUAAUUGCCGCAUGGCAGAUGGAUUAAAGGAGCAAUUCGCUUUGAGAUGGACCCGCGGCGCAUUAGCUAGUUGGUGAGGUAACGGCUCACCAAGGCGACGAUGCGUAGCCGACCUGAGAGGGUGAUCGGCCACAUUGGGACUGAGACACGGCCCAGACUCCUACGGGAGGCAGCAGUGGGGAAUAUUGCGCAAUGGAGGAAACUCUGACGCAGCAACGCCGCGUGAGUGAUGAAGGUCUUCGGAUUGUAAAGCUCUGUCUUCAGGGACGAUAAUGACGGUACCUGAGGAGGAAGCCACGGCUAACUACGUGCCAGCAGCCGCGGUAAUACGUAGGUGGCAAGCGUUGUCCCGGAUUUAUUGGGCGUAAAGCAUGCGUAGGCGGAUACUUAAGUGGGANUGUGAAAACCCCGGGGCUCAACUCCGGACCUGCAUUCCAAACUGGGUGUCUAGAGUACAGGAGAGGAAAGGGGAAUUCCUAGUGUAGCGGUGAAAUGCGUAGAGAUUAGGAAGAACACCAGUGGCGAAGGCGCCUUUCUGGACUGUAACUGACGCUGAGGCAUGAAAGCGUGGGUAGCAAACAGGAUUAGAUACCCUGGUAGUCCACGCCGUAAACGAUGAGUACUAGGUGUCGGGGUUUCAAUACUUCGGUGCCGCAGUUAACACAUUAAGUACUCCGCCUGGGAAGUACGAUCGCAAGAUUAAAACUCAAAGGAAUUGACGGGGGCCCGCCACAAGUUAGCGGAAGCAUGUUGGUUUAAUUCGACCCAACGCGAAAAAACNUUACCUGGGNCUUGACAUCCUAAGAAGUCCGGUGGAAACACCGAUGUGCCCUUCGGGGAACUUAGAGACAGGUGGUGCAUGGUUGUCGUCAGCUCGUGUCGUGAGAUGUUGGGUUAAGUCCCGCAACGAGCGCAACCCUUGUUGUUAGUUGCUACCAUUAAGUUGAGCACUCUAGCAAGACUGCCUGGGUAACCAGGAGGAAGGUGGGGAUGACGUCAAAUCAUCAUGCCCCUUAUGUCCAGGGCUACACACGUGCUACAAUGGUUGGUACAGAGAGACGCAAGACCGUGAGGUGGAGCAAAUCCCAUAAAACCAAUCUCAGUUCGGAUUGUAGGCUGAAACUCGCCUACAUGAAGCUGGAGUUACUAGUAAUCGCGAAUCAGAAUGUCGCGGUGAAUGCGUUCCCGGGCCUUGUACACACCGCCCGUCACACCAUGAGAGUCGAUAACACCCGAAGUCCGUGAGGUAACCGUAAGGGCCAGCGGCC
This 1387-nucleotide ribosomal RNA is filed under the name bacterium NLAE-zl-C274. RNAcentral's name for it is "16S ribosomal RNA". It matches the Rfam family "Bacterial small subunit ribosomal RNA". The record is from RNAcentral.